GAUGAACGCUGGCGGCGUGCUUAAUACAUGCAAGUCGAGCGAACGGACGAGAAGCUUGCUUCUCUGUUGUUAGCGGAGGACGGGUGAGUAACACGUGGAUCACCUACCUAUAAGACUGGGAUAACUUCGGGAAACCGGAGCUAAUACCGGAUAAUAUUUUGAACCGCAUGGUUCAAAAGUGAAAGACGGUCUUGCUGUAACUUAUAGAUGGUUACGCGCUUCAUUAGCUAGUUGGUAAGGUAAAGGCUUAUCAAGGCAACGAUGCAUAGCCGACCUGAGAGGGUGAUCGGCCACACUGGAACUGAAACACGGUCCAGACUCCUACGGGAGGCAGCAGUAGGGAAUCUUCCGCAAUGGUCGAGAGCCUUACGGAGCAACGCCGCGUGAGUGAUGAAGGUCUUCGGAUCGGAAAACUCUGUUAUUAGUGAAGAACAUAUGUGUAAGUAACUGUGCACAUCGUGACGGUACCUAAUCAGAAAGCCACGGCUAACUACGUG
RNAcentral lists this ribosomal RNA (497 nucleotides) under uncultured bacterium. RNAcentral's name for it is "partial 16S ribosomal RNA". It matches the Rfam family "Bacterial small subunit ribosomal RNA", at positions 28 to 507 of the family's 1533-position model. The record is from RNAcentral.